GCACCUGUAGCUCAGUUGGUUAGAGCGCACGCUUCACACGCGUGAGGUCCCCAGUUCAAGUCUGGGCAGGUGCA
Molecule: transfer RNA, 74 nt
Filed under: Actinomycetota bacterium
Lineage: Bacteria; Bacillati; Actinomycetota
Description: Actinobacteria bacterium tRNA-Val
Rfam family: tRNA
About the family: Transfer RNA (tRNA) molecules are approximately 80 nucleotides in length. Their secondary structure includes four short double-helical elements and three loops (D, anti-codon, and T loops).
Source: RNAcentral